RNAcentral lists this unclassified non-coding RNA (1616 nucleotides) under Hevea brasiliensis (rubber tree). The record is from RNAcentral. Lineage: Eukaryota; Viridiplantae; Streptophyta; Magnoliopsida; Malpighiales; Euphorbiaceae.
GGCUAUUCACAUUUUGCCAGAUCAAACGGCUCAGAUGGGGCUUGUAACCGUACAAAAAAUGGGACGGUUGUAAUCCUCGUUGUCAACAUACCUACCGGACUGAACCAAACCAAGCUCUCAAUUUUGGAUAAACGGAUAACAUAAUACUGCAGAGCUCCUGCUUCACUGGACUGAGCUUCCAGGGGCUGCAAAUGGCCGCUCUUAGCCUUGGCAUCGCCAUCUCCACAACAGUCACUGUCCGCACAAGGCCAAUAACAAGAACCAGUCGCAGGCCCCGAAUCUCCUGCGUUGGAUGGGAUCCAGAGGGGUUAUUUGGUCCUCCACAGACGGGCCACAUCGCCCGACGCGAGUUCCAAAGACGCCUGGAGAGAGACGCCGAGGUUCGUGAGGCAUUUGAGCAACAUACCCGCGAAGAGAAAGAGCGUCGCCGAGCUCUGCGCCGAUCUCGAGUUACACCGGAUACUCCAGCGGAGCUUAUUGAGUACUUUCUUGAAACUGAGGCUCAGGAGAUCGAGUUUGAGAUUGCGAGGAUGAGGCCCCGAUUGAAUCAGGAAUUCUUCUCACAUCUACAAUUUGAACUGGGGCAGCUUCGGUUUGCUGUUUCAAAAACAGAGGAUAUGGAGGACAGAUUGAUUGAGCUGGAAGCACUGCAGAAGGCUCUGCUAGAAGGCACAGAAGCCUAUGAUAAAAUGCAAGGUGAACUUGUAAAGGCAAGGAACAGCCUAACCAAAAUCUUGACAUCGAAGGAUGUGAAAGCAACUGUACGUAUUACUAUUUUCACUCAUGCAGCCUUCAAUUUAUUUACUUUACUAUUUUGUGCUGCAUAAUUAUGUUCGCUAUAUGGCUUCGUCUAUUUAUGCUAGUUGUUGGAGAUGGUUGAGCAGAAGGAACUCAAUAGAUCCUUGUUGACACUUCUUGAUGAAAAUAUAUCAAGUGCCAACCAAAGUAACCAGGUGUGACCUUUAGAUGAAUUCUUUCAGUAAUAUGCCUCUUUUUUUGAGACUUUAUUGUUGUGGUAGAGGAACUUAAAACCACAUCUAUACUAUAAAUCAUUUAGCUAACAUGUUAAAACUGUAGCACUGCAUUUAAAUGCCUAAACUUUACAUCAGACUUUAUCUGUCCCCUGCAGAAAGAAGCAGCGGCUUUCAUGGAAAAGCUUCGUGCAGCUAUGCUAAAGUACAUGACAGUUUAGCACUCGAUGCUUAUUUACAGCUUGGACAGAAUAAUCUUUACAUGGAGACUAAUCUUUACAGCCUCGUUUGUUCCAUUGUUCUAUGAAAUCACUUGCACAAGCUUCACCAAAGUGGGGCAAACUAUAAAUGUUGGAUUUUUGUAUUAGGGUUGCCCGAUGAUGAUAUCUAAUGACUGCUUGUCAACGGCAUAAUUCGAUUGGUUUUAGUGAUCGAGAUAAUUUCAGAGGUGCUGGAACGAAACCUGGUUGACUUUAGGCUGUACGAACCUGUUUUAGUUUCGUAUAAACCUUUUCAAAGGCUUGUGCAAACCUUUUCAAAGGCUUGUGCAAACCUUUUUCUAUUGUGCAUUAUUUCAAAAUGUAGAAAAAGAGAUGUAGAAAGAGAUAAUUCUCAUUGAUAUCAAUUAAUCUGUACAUGGGUAUA